This 199-nucleotide long non-coding RNA is filed under the name Elaeis guineensis (African oil palm). Its description in RNAcentral is "long non-coding RNA (EGUI_LNC061198)". Lineage: Eukaryota; Viridiplantae; Streptophyta; Magnoliopsida; Arecales; Arecaceae. The record is from RNAcentral.
AUCAUCAGUCAUAUGCUAGAUUGGCUCGACUUGAAUUUAUUUGUGAAUCUUGUGAAAAUUCUUUUCUAGUCUUCACACAUGCUUUGAUCAAAGACCUUCUGAACUUAAUCUCGUAAAUCUCAUAAAACUUCUUCUUUUCUAUCAAGAUCGAUAGAUUCCAUCUAGGUGCAUCCUACUCCAAAUAGCAAAUUUGAACCUA